AGAGUUCGAUCCUGGCUCAGAUUGAACGCUGGCGGCAGGCCUAACACAUGCAAGUCGAGCGGUAGAGAGGAGCUUGCUCCUCUUGAGAGCGGCGGACGGGUGAGUAAUGCCUAGGAAUCUGCCUGGUAGUGGGGGAUAACGUUCGGAAACGGACGCUAAUACCGCAUACGUCCUACGGGAGAAAGCAGGGGACCUUCGGGCCUUGCGCUAUCAGAUGAGCCUAGGUCGGAUUAGCUAGUUGGUGAGGUAAUGGCUCACCAAGGCGACGAUCCGUAACUGGUCUGAGAGGAUGAUCAGUCACACUGGAACUGAGACACGGUCCAGACUCCUACGGGAGGCAGCAGUGGGGAAUAUUGGACAAUGGGCGAAAGCCUGAUCCAGCCAUGCCGCGUGUGUGAAGAAGGUCUUCGGAUUGUAAAGCACUUUAAGUUGGGAGGAAGGGCAGUAAAUUAAUACUUUGCUGUUUUGACGUUACCGACAGAAUAAGCACCGGCUAACUCUGUGCCAGCAGCCGCGGUAAUACAGAGGGUGCAAGCGUUAAUCGGAAUUACUGGGCGUAAAGCGCGCGUAGGUGGUUUGUUAAGUUGGAUGUGAAAUCCCCGGGCUCAACCUGGGAACUGCAUUCAAAACUGACUGACUAGAGUAUGGUAGAGGGUGGUGGAAUUUCCUGUGUAGCGGUGAAAUGCGUAGAUAUAGGAAGGAACACCAGUGGCGAAGGCGACCACCUGGACUAAUACUGACACUGAGGUGCGAAAGCGUGGGGAGCAAACAGGAUUAGAUACCCUGGUAGUCCACGCCGUAAACGAUGUCAACUAGCCGUUGGAAGCCUUGAGCUUUUAGUGGCGCAGCUAACGCAUUAAGUUGACCGCCUGGGGAGUACGGCCGCAAGGUUAAAACUCAAAUGAAUUGACGGGGGCCCGCACAAGCGGUGGAGCAUGUGGUUUAAUUCGAAGCAACGCGAAGAACCUUACCAGGCCUUGACAUCCAAUGAACUUUCUAGAGAUAGAUUGGUGCCUUCGGGAACAUUGAGACAGGUGCUGCAUGGCUGUCGUCAGCUCGUGUUGUGAGAUGUUGGGUUAAGUCCCGUAACGAGCGCAACCCUUGUCCUUAGUUACCAGCACGUCAUGGUGGGCACUCUAAGGAGACUGCCGGUGACAAACCGGAGGAAGGUGGAGAUGACGUCAAGUCAUCAUGGCCCUUACGGCCUGGGCUACACACGUGCUACAAUGGUCGGUACAGAGGGUUGCCAAGCCGCGAGGUGGAGCUAAUCCCACAAAACCGAUCGUAGUCCGGAUCGCAGUCUGCAACUCGACUGCGUGAAGUCGGAAUCGCUAGUAAUCGCGAAUCAGAAUGUCGCGGUGAAUACGUUCCCGGGCCUUGCACACACCGCCCGUC
RNAcentral lists this ribosomal RNA (1395 nucleotides) under uncultured bacterium. Its description in RNAcentral is "bacterial SSU rRNA". It matches the Rfam family "Bacterial small subunit ribosomal RNA". The record is from RNAcentral.